GAAAUGCGAUACUUGGUGUGAAUUGCAGAAUCCCGUGAACCAUCGAAUCUUUGAACGCACAUUGCGCCCGCCAGUACUCUGGCGGGCAUGCCUGUUCGAGCGUCAUUACAUCCCUCAAGCCCCUGCGGCUUGGUGUUGGGCCUCGGCCGUCCCUCAAGCGGCGGCCGUGCCCCAAAUACAGUGGCGGUCUCGCCCCCGGCUCCUCUGCGUAGUAGUAACAUCUCGCACUGGGACGGAGCGUAGGCCACGCCGUAAAACAACCCAACUUUCUGAAUGUUGACCUCGGAUCAGGUAGGAAUACCCGCUGAACUUAA
RNAcentral lists this unclassified non-coding RNA (314 nucleotides) under uncultured Nectriaceae. RNAcentral's name for it is "sequence contains ITS1". The stretch from base 1 to 105 matches the Rfam family "5.8S ribosomal RNA", at positions 50 to 154 of the family's 154-position model. Lineage: Eukaryota; Fungi; Ascomycota; Sordariomycetes; Hypocreales; Nectriaceae. The record is from RNAcentral.